RNAcentral lists this ribosomal RNA (544 nucleotides) under uncultured Glomeromycotina. RNAcentral describes it as "SSU rRNA". It matches the Rfam family "Eukaryotic small subunit ribosomal RNA", at positions 548 to 1098 of the family's 1831-position model. Lineage: Eukaryota; Fungi; Glomeromycota. The record is from RNAcentral.
UUGGAGGGCAAGUCUGGUGCCAGCAGCCGCGGUAAUUCCAGCUCCAAUAGCGUAUAUUAAAGUUGUAGCAGUUAAAAAGCUCGUAGUUGAAUUUCGGGGUUCUACCGUUGGUCGGGCUUUGUCUGUACUGGUGUGUAGAAUUUCUACCUUCUGGGGAACCAUCAUGCUAUUAAUUUAGCGUGGUGGGAAACCAGGACCUUUACCUUGAAAAAAUUAGUGUGUUCAAAGCAGGCUUAUGUCUGAAUACAUUAGCGUGGAAUAAUAGAAUAGGACGGUGGUCCUGUUUUGUUGGUUUCUGAAUCACCGUAAUGAUUAAUAGGGAUAGUUGGGGGCAUUAGUAUUCAAUUGUCAGAGGUGAAAUUCUUGGAUUUAUUGAAGACUAACUUCUGCGAAAGCAUUUGCCAAGGAUGUUUUCAUUAAUCAAGAACGAAAGUUAGGGGAUCGAAGACGAUCAGAUACCGUCGUAGUCUUAACCAUAAACUAUGCCGACUAGGGAUCGGACGAUGUUAAUUUUUCUUGACUCGUUCGGCGCCUUACGGGAAAC